CGGAAAGCCUGAUGCAGCGACGCCGCGUGAGGGAUGACGGCCUUCGGGUUGUAAACCUCUUUCAGUAGGGAAGAAGCGAAAGUGACGGUACCUGCAGAAGAAGCGCCGGCUAACUACGUGCCAGCAGCCGCGGUAAUACGUAGGGCGCAAGCGUUAUCCGGAAUUAUUGGGCGUAAAGAGCUCGUAGGCGGUUUGUCGCGUCUGCCGUGAAAGUCCGGGGGCUCAACUCCGGAUCUGCGGUGGGUACGGGCAGACUAGAGUGAUGUAGGGGAGACUGGAAUUCCUGGUGUAGCGGUGAAAUGCGCAGAUAUCAGGAGGAACACCGAUGGCGAAGGCAGGUCUCUGGGCAUUAACUGACGCUGAGGAGCGAAAGCAUGGGGAGCGAACAGGAUUAGAUACCCUGGUAGUCCAUGCCGUAAACGUUGGGCACUAGGUGUGGGGGACAUUCCACGUUUUCCGCGCCGUAGCUAACGCAUUAAGUGCCCCGCCUGGGGAGUACGGCCGCAAGGCUA
This 512-nucleotide ribosomal RNA is filed under the name uncultured Actinomycetes bacterium. RNAcentral describes it as "bacterial SSU rRNA". It matches the Rfam family "Bacterial small subunit ribosomal RNA", at positions 376 to 896 of the family's 1533-position model. The record is from RNAcentral. Lineage: Bacteria; Bacillati; Actinomycetota; Actinomycetes.